UCUCUCUCUCUCUCUCUCUCUCUCUUUCCCUUUCCUACACAGACCCAAAACCCGACACCUCUCUCCCUCUCUCCCUCGCAGAUCAGUGGAUUCCUACUUCGUCUCCUCCAACAUCUUCUUCUAGGGUUUUCUCCUCCACCAUUUUCUAGGGUUUCCAACUCGUCCGCUCCUCUCAACCUCACACACGAUGGCCGGAUUGGGAAGGAUCGUGCGCCGAGGUGAUCCCUCUUGAGCUCGCACACGAUCGCCGCUUAGGAGGACCUUCGCCGAGGCGCAUUAAUUGCUUUCUCAUUUGAUCACCGCCCAUUCCUUUUACGUGGACACGCGGGAUGGAGACGGAUCGGGACGGAGACGGAUUGAUUUAGUUUACUACGGUAAUUUAUUUCAGAUAAAAAAGGUAAAAACGUAGGUUAAUUUAGUUGAAAUAUGAAUCAUUUUGAUUCGAUUAUUCAAUAUUUUAAAAUUUUGAAUUUAUUAUCCAACAUUUUAGUUUAUUUAAUUUGAGUCAGUUAACGAUAUUUUGACUUUAAAAUUUAAGCUAGUUAUUUAUUUUAAUACAUUUAUACUUACAAGAAUUGCAUAAAGUAUACCAACUAAACAUGUAAAGAUAAAUGACCCAUUCUCCGGCACAUGUUAAGAGGCUUAGGUCUACCCUAAAAGCUUCAGUUAUUAUGUAGAGAUAUCCUCCACAUUAUGUACACAUUAAGAUUAUAUUUUGUAUCCGAUAUGUAACUAUUACUCAAAACAACUUUUACAUAUUUAAGCUCGUUGUUCACAAGUGGACCAUGGCUAAAAUGUUAAUUAGCAUUUUUAAUAAACACCUCCAACUAACCAAUCAUCAUCAAAAUUUGACCCAAAGAAUAAGCAUCACCCAAAAUUAAGAAUCGGGAACUUGACCCUCAAAGCUUAUACCCGAAUCUCUCAAGCGGGUUAGGUCAAGUAAAUUGCGCAUCUUAUAUGGAGAUAAUAAGAAUUAGCUUUCAUGUAAGGAAUUAGCUUUCAUUGGUUGUAUUUUGGAUAACUUGGAUACUAUAGUUUUUUUGAGUUAAAUUGUUCAUGCCUUUUCUUUGCUCGUAAAAAUAUCCAAUGCAACUAAAUGUUUGGCUUAAGUAAAAAAUUGACAUAAGUAUCUGCCUAACUUCUCAUAAUAUUUUGCUGAAAUCAACUGAGACUUCAACUCACAUAUUAAAGGCCUGUAUGCUGGCAGUUUUCUUGCAGGGCUUAUGUCUAGUUAAGUUGUAUAAAUAAAUUUUCAGAACAGCAAGAAAUACUGUACAUGCAUGCUUCUCAAUACUGUGGACUAAAUUUACACAACUUUAAAAAAGGAUUAGAGGGUGCACUUUGGACCUCUGCUUGGCAUUAAAUGCCUAUUAAUGAGUAUAAUAUCACAUUCACUUUUGAGGUUCUGUACAGUUUUCUUGAUCAUGUAGUGCAGUUUUAUUAAUGUGCUUGGUAUGUCAUUUUUAUUGAAUGACAAUUCCUUCUUAUACAAAGUCAAAAAGAGCAGAUCAAUGGACCAGAACCUGCAUCUGAUCCCCAAUCUCUUUGUUCUCAAGGGAAGCAUCACUUUAUCCUUAAUGAACAAAUAGGAAUCACAUACAAAUUUUGCUCCUUUGUAAUUUGGAAAUUAGAUAUAUUAUGCCUUCUUUGGUGAGUUCCUCUUCCUCAUUAUUAAUUCUUACUGCACAUACUCUGCUAUGAGGAAAUACUCAGAAUUAGAAAGUUUUUGAGGGUUGUUGAUUAAAAAAACUUAGCUAGCCUAUACAGAACUUUGAUAAUACUGUUUCCUUCAAGCUAACCUAUAUCUAAUUAAAGCCUAAUUAUAGCAUUUACUUUUUUGUAGUUUAUGACGAUGGAAAAAGAGAAAGAAAGAUAGGUCGUACAACUUUAAAGGAGAUAUUGGAAAUAAACAAGAGUUGGCGUAUUCAAGUUCGAUUUAACAAAAGAGGGCAACCCAUAAAUAAGGAGGCAAGGUUGCUCGCUGGAUUUUGUAGAAUAGUUGCACGAAAUGGUCUAUUCUGCCCUCUAAACUACAUUAAUUAGAGACGAAUGCCAAUUGCACUGAAAAAUGAAGCUUUGUCUUUUGUCAUGGUAUUUGACACAUUUUACACUGUUUACAUCUGUUUAUAUAACAAUCUUAUUAUACAUAUUUCUUUUAAUUUUGUGUAUAUUGUCUUUGAAGUCGAAAUUUCAAUUUCAAUCAAAGAAAGGACAAGCCUUUAUCAUAAGAUCUUUAAACAAGAAAUGGAAAGACUACAAAGCUGAAUUAAAAGCCAAGCAUUUUGACCGAACAAAACUAAAAGAAGAAAUUAGUAAGAAUGUGCCUCCUGGUGUAGCAAAGCAGCAGUGGUUGAGCCUGGUUGACUUUUUAUUCUCUGAUGUUGCCAAGGUAUGAUUUAUCAAUACUUUAUUUCUAGAUAAGACUUUGUUUUUAGAUUUAUCCUGGUAUUUUCUUUCUCUGUGUUGGCAAGUUUUUGCAUUAGUGGCUAAUCUUGAAAUUUUUACUCCUUUUCUUACAUGUUCUUUUAACUGACUAUUGGAUGCAAGCCAUAGAUUGUGAACUAUUUGUGAAACCAAAUUUAGAUGAGAUGUGAAUGAAAUAAAAAUCUGCAUUGCUAUGGCUGAAUUUAUUAUUCUGCACUCUGUCUCACUUAUAAUUAACAUAUUGUUCGCAUUAUCUUCACUUAAAUACUUCUGAUGAGAUGAUAUUUUGACUUACUGAAGGGUGCUCGAUGGUCUCAAUGGUCAUCGCUCUUCCAUAUCUUUUGCUAAUCCAUCAAAUAGUUGAGUUCUGCUAUCUUAACAUGAUCAGCUUUAUUGCUAUGUCCUGUUUCAUCUUCUCACUUUCGUUUCUUGUAGAGUUUAUUAGGUCAAGCUAUUAAAGAGUUAGUACGCUCUACUACAAUAUAGUCACUUGUUGUUCUAUGAUAUCAUAAUCUUGAUGAGCUCUCUAAUUUUGGGGUAUUCUUUCUUUUCUGUGUGUGUUUAUGUAUGUGCGUGCGCGCGCGCGUAGGAUGGGAGGGUUCAAGGGUGAUAAGACUUGAUGCUGAAUAGUAACUAAAAGUUAAGACUUGAUGCUGAAUAUAUCUAUUGGUUGACUUUUUGGUUAAAAUUUUCUAUUUCAAGUUUCAAAAAUUUAAAAACUAAAAUUCAUACUCCUCUUUGCAACUAGUAAAACUGCAUAUAUUGUAGCAAUGCCAUAUAUUGUGUCCCUGUAGAAAUUCAUUACUUGUGAUUGGUAGAGUAAGUACUGUUGAUUAAAUCUGACAUUACUACACUUUUUUCCCUUAAUUACCAUGGAAUUUCUAGUUUGGAUGUGCUAUGGUUUCUUUUUCUUUUUUUUUUUUAGUCCGAAUUUUGCAAAAUGAUGAAAGAGCCAGUUGACAGAAUAAUGUAAAUUGUUGGAUCAGACUUUGUUUCUAGAUGUCUUGCGAUCUUAUCUAACUCAACUAUAUGAACAUUUUUAUGCUUGGGAGGACCUUCGUUGAGUCACACGUGAUCGCCGCUUGGGAGGACCUUUGCCGAGUCGCACGCGAUCGCCGCUUAGGAGGACCUUCGCCGAGUCGCACGCGAUCGCCGCUUGGGAGGACCUUCGCCGAGUCGCACGCGAUUGCCGCUUGGGAGGAAUCGUUCGUCCACCUUCAUCAUCCUUCUUUCUCACUACUUUUUUUUGAAUCCCGAGUCUUCGGGCACUUGCUAUACGUCAGUAUCAUCAAAUCCUUCCAGUGAUACCUUUUGUAUUUGGACCUAUUAUGCCCUUUAGUAUCAUUUUAUGUUUUGAGCUACUGUGUCAUUUCUAAAAAAUUAUUUUUGGAUAUUAUAGUUUUUUAUCAUUUUAUUGAUGUUGAGGAUGUGAGGAACAAUUAGUAUUUUGGUUUCAUUCGAUA
Ananas comosus (pineapple) is the source of this 3887-nucleotide long non-coding RNA. RefSeq lists it as uncharacterized. NCBI's taxonomy places the organism in Eukaryota, Viridiplantae, Streptophyta, Magnoliopsida, Poales, Bromeliaceae. The record is from RefSeq and is a predicted model, not a curated record. The transcript is spliced from 3 exons.